CCAAUAGCGUAUAUUAAAGUUGUUGCAGUUAAAAAGCUCGUAGUUGAAUUUCGGGAUCGACGGGUCGGUCGCGCCUCUGGUGUGUACUGGCCCUGUCGGUUUCUCCCUUCUUACGAACUGCGAUGUCAUUAAUUUGGUGUCGUAGGGACUACGGACUGUUACUUUGAAAAAAUUAGAGUGUUUAAAGCAGGCAUUCGCUCGAAUACAUUAGCAUGGAAUAAUGAAAUCGGACGUUUGAUCUUAUUUUGUUGGUUUCUAAGAUCGACGUAAUGAUUAAUAGGGAUAGUUGGGGGCAUUAGUAUUCAAUUGUCAGAGGUGAAAUUCUUGGAUUUAUUGAAGACUAACUACUGCGAAAGCAUUUGCCAAGGAUGUUUUCAUUAAUCAAGAACGAAAGUUAGGGGAUCGAAGACGAUCAGAUACCGUCGUAGUCUUAACCAUAAACUAUGCCGACUAGGGAUCGGAUGAUGUUAAUUUUUUAAUGACUCAUUCGGCGCCUUACG
This 500-nucleotide ribosomal RNA is filed under the name uncultured Glomeromycotina. RNAcentral's name for it is "partial small subunit ribosomal RNA". It matches the Rfam family "Eukaryotic small subunit ribosomal RNA", at positions 591 to 1092 of the family's 1831-position model. Lineage: Eukaryota; Fungi; Glomeromycota. The record is from RNAcentral.